GGGCGGCUUGGGCGGGGGUCGGCCGGGCCCUGGGCGCCGGGCGCGCCCUGCUUCGGCUGCUGGGCCGCUCCCC
RNAcentral lists this transfer RNA (73 nucleotides) under Streptomyces melanogenes. Its description in RNAcentral is "tRNA-Pro". The record is from RNAcentral. Lineage: Bacteria; Bacillati; Actinomycetota; Actinomycetes; Kitasatosporales; Streptomycetaceae.